CAAAUUCAUUCCAUUCUACUGAAUGUGUCAUCGAAAUUAAACAGAGAGCCUUGGAUAACUGAUUGUGGUUUCAUGUGUAAGUUCACUUAACAUGUUACUGAACUUUCUUCGUUCAAAAAGGACAAGGACUAUACAGUCAAUAAGAUUCCGUGUUUGCUAACCUGUUGGCUGCUACCCUUGAAUCUCCCUGUUUGUCAACAACAAAAAAAGAGAUAUGGCCUGUAAGACCAAAUGUCUGGUUGUCACUCCAAAAUAAGGCAAUGACUACACGUUCAACGCGGAUUAUUCGUUUUGUCAUCGAACUUGACUCAUUCCAUCUUCUGGAUUGCUCAGGAAACCUGAUUGGCGUUUUCUGUCCAUUUAGGUAAUGACCGAGAAGAUGCGGCCUACAUGAAUAUCAUUUCGUCGGCCAUUAUCAUUCGACUACCCAACCGGCUUCUACUACCCUGGUCUCAACACAGCAAGGAGUUUUACCCUUAAGAUUUUUGGCUGUUCGCGAUGUGAGAUAUUUCGUUAGACGAGAUGUUGAUUUUGGCGAGAAAAAUAUUGCGUGAGUAACUAAUAUUUUUUCUUUAUAUUUGAUUCAAUCUAAAGAGGUCACAUAAUUUUACUGCAUUCAUCGUCAUUAUACCCUUUCAUUAUCAUUUCCAUACUGCAGAGCUAAAACUGUCUUUUUGUAGGUCUGAAUAUUACUCAUUGAAUGAUAUAUUGGUGAAUAUAUACUCAAAUGUCAUAUAAAGUGAGUUUUAAGCCAUAACCAUUUGGUAUUCAUUUUGAAAUUGGUU
This is a long non-coding RNA of Daphnia pulex (common water flea), 785 nucleotides long. RefSeq lists it as uncharacterized. The record is from RefSeq and is a predicted model, not a curated record. NCBI's taxonomy places the organism in Eukaryota, Metazoa, Arthropoda, Branchiopoda, Diplostraca, Daphniidae. The transcript has 4 exons.